RNAcentral lists this long non-coding RNA (272 nucleotides) under Homarus americanus (American lobster). RNAcentral's name for it is "uncharacterized LOC121871223, transcript variant X1". The record is from RNAcentral. Lineage: Eukaryota; Metazoa; Arthropoda; Malacostraca; Decapoda; Nephropidae.
GGGUGGGCCGUCAUGACAUACAGUACAUCUAGGUGGACCGUCAUGACCACAGUACAUCUAGGUGGGCCGUCAUGACAUACAGUACAUCUAGGUGGGCUGUCAUGACAUACAGUACAUCUAGGUGGGCCGUCAUGACAUACAGUACAUCUAGGUGGGCCGUCGUGACAUACAGUACAUCUAGGUGGGCCGUCGUGACAUACAGUACAUCUAGGUGGGCCGUCGUGACAUACAGUACAUCUAGGUGGGCCGUCGUGACGUCACAGUACAUCUAG